Molecule: RNase P RNA, 418 nt
Filed under: Gordonia paraffinivorans
Lineage: Bacteria; Bacillati; Actinomycetota; Actinomycetes; Mycobacteriales; Gordoniaceae
Description: RNase P RNA component class A
Rfam family: Bacterial RNase P class A
About the family: Ribonuclease P (RNase P) is a ubiquitous endoribonuclease, found in archaea, bacteria and eukarya as well as chloroplasts and mitochondria. Its best characterised activity is the generation of mature 5'-ends of tRNAs by cleaving the 5'-leader elements of precursor-tRNAs.
Source: RNAcentral
CGAGUCGGCCGGGCGGCCGCGGUGGGCGGAACGGGCGGCACAUGCCGUCACGCCGCGCAUCGAGGAAAGUCCGGACUCCACAGAGCAGGGUGGUUGCUAACGGCAACCCGGGGUGACCCGCGGGACAGUGCCACAGAGAACAGACCGCCGGCCGCGAGGCCGGUAAGGGUGAAACGGUGCGGUAAGAGCGCACCAGCGGCGCGGGUGACCGCGUCGGCUAGGUAAACCCCACCCGGAGCAAGGCCGAAGCACGCACCUCGCGGUGCGUGUGCGCGGGCGUCACGAGGGCUGCUCGCCCCAGCCCGCGGGUGGGCCGCUCGAGGUACCCGGCGACGGUGUGCCCAGAUGGAUGGUCGCCGCCCGCGACGACCGAGAGGUCGCGCGGGUACAGGAUCCGGCUUACGUGCCGGCUCGUUCG